CACGUAGGGCGCAAGCGUUGUCCGGAAUUAUUGGGCGUAAAGAGCUCGUAGGCGGUCUGUUGCGUCGGGAGUGAAAACCCGCGGCUUAACCGCGGGCCUGCUUCCGAUACGGGCGAGCUAGAGUUCGGCAGGGGAGACUGGAAUUCCUGGUGUAGCGGUGGAAUGCGCAGAUAUCAGGAGGAACACCGGUGGCGAAGGCGGGUCUCUGGGCCGAUACUGACACUGAGAAGCGAAAGCGUGGGGAGCGAACAG
This 252-nucleotide ribosomal RNA is filed under the name uncultured bacterium. Its description in RNAcentral is "partial 16S ribosomal RNA". It matches the Rfam family "Bacterial small subunit ribosomal RNA", at positions 524 to 775 of the family's 1533-position model. The record is from RNAcentral.